GACGAACGCUGGCGGCGCGCUUAACACAUGCAAGUCGAACGGAAAGGCCUGCUUUCCCUUGUGGAUUGCGGGUACUCGAGUGGCGAACGGGUGAGUAACACGUGAGUGAUCUGCCCCCAACUUGGGUAUAAGCCUGGGAAACUGGGUCUAAUUCCCGAUAGGACUGCAGGGUGGUGCCUGUGGUGGAAAACGAUUUUCUAGUGGUUGGGGAUGAGCUCGCGGCCUAUCAGCUUGUUGGUGGGGUAAUGGCCUACCAAGGCGGCGACGGGUAGCCGGCCUGAGAGGGUGGACGGCCACAUUGGGACUGAGAUACGGCCCAGACUCCUACGGGAGGCAGCAGUGGUGAAUAUUGCACAAUGGGCGGAAGCCUGAUGCAGCGACGCCGCGUGGGGGAUGACGGCCUUCGGGUUGUAAACUCCUUUCGACCGCGAGGAAGCCACCUGGUUGGAAGGGUGGUGACGGUAGUGGUAGAAGAAGCACCGGCUAACUAUGUG
This 494-nucleotide ribosomal RNA is filed under the name uncultured bacterium. RNAcentral's name for it is "partial 16S ribosomal RNA". It matches the Rfam family "Bacterial small subunit ribosomal RNA", at positions 28 to 507 of the family's 1533-position model. The record is from RNAcentral.